Molecule: unclassified non-coding RNA, 324 nt
Filed under: soil metagenome
Description: partial contains 5.8S ribosomal RNA, internal transcribed spacer 2, and large subunit ribosomal RNA
Rfam family: 5.8S ribosomal RNA (bases 1-120)
Source: RNAcentral
GAUGAAGAACGUAGCGAAAUGCGAUACGUAAUGUGAAUUGCAGAAUUCAGUGAAUCAUCGAGUCUUUGAACGCACAUUGCGCCCUGUGGUAUUCCGCAGGGCAUGCCUGUUCGAGCGUCAUUUCAACCCUCAAGCCUCGCUUGGUGUUGGGCCCUGCCCGCCGCGGCCGGCCCUAAAGAUAGUGGCGGCGCCGCCUGGCCCUCAGCGUAGUACAGCUCUCGCUCCAGGGUCCGGCGGUAGCCUGCCAGAACCCCCCAACUCUGUGGUUGACCUCGGAUCAGGUAGGGAUACCCGCUGAACUUAAGCAUAUCAAUAAGCGGAGGA